This 425-nucleotide ribosomal RNA is filed under the name uncultured bacterium. Its description in RNAcentral is "partial 16S ribosomal RNA". It matches the Rfam family "Bacterial small subunit ribosomal RNA", at positions 354 to 796 of the family's 1533-position model. The record is from RNAcentral.
GUGGGGAAUCUUAGACAAUGGGCGCAAGCCUGAUCUAGCCAUGCCGCGUGAGCGAUGAAGGCCUUAGGGUUGUAAAGCUCUUUCGUGGGGGAAGAUAAUGACUGUACCCCAAGAAGAAGCCCCGGCUAACUCCGUGCCAGCAGCCGCGGUAAUACGGAGGGGGCUAGCGUUGUUCGGAAUUACUGGGCGUAAAGCGCACGUAGGCGGACCAGAAAGUCAGAGGUGAAAGCCCGGGGCUCAACCCCGGAACUGCCUUUGAAACUCCUGGUCUUGAGGUCGAGAGAGGUGGGUGGAAUUCCGAGUGUAGAGGUGAAAUUCGUAGAUAUUCGGAGGAACACCAGUGGCGAAGGCGGCCCACUGGCUCGAUACUGACGCUGAGGUGCGAAAGCGUGGGGAGCAAACAGGAUUAGAAACCCCGGUAGUCC